Long non-coding RNA from Anolis sagrei ordinatus, 407 nucleotides. RefSeq lists it as uncharacterized. Lineage: Eukaryota; Metazoa; Chordata; Lepidosauria; Squamata; Anolidae. The record is from RefSeq and is a predicted model, not a curated record.
CUUAAUACACGACUGUGCUUUCUCCUUAAAUAAAUUUUACCAGAUAGAUUUCUUAUAUUGAUCCAACUUUGUGGUCCAUAAAGCAGAACAUCUCACAGCAUGCCUCUUGACCGGGAGCCUGAUGGAUGUCAUGGAUGCCUGGAAGAAUACGUGAUCCUUUAUCGACCUAUUGAUGCAAUGAAUACCUGUCCAUCUGAGAAGAGAUGUUGUCAUUAGGGAAGGCUGAGAAUUUCAUUAUGGUCCUCAAUUUGAAGCAAAGUACCUUCACUUGGCACCUCCUGAAAGAACAUAUGCAUCAGAAAUAUAUUAUCCUUUGGAUGUCAGAGCUUUCUGAAUAUUAUUGUGUGGUUCUUGGCUCAAAAAUGUAUACAACAGCAUAAUAAAUUGUACAAUGAGUUUUAUCAGUA